CAGUAGCCACGGGAAUACGGAGGGUGCAAGCGUUAAUCGGAAUUACUGGGCGUAAAGCGCACGCAGGCGGUCUGACAAGUCAGAUGUGAAAUCCCCGGGCUUAACCUGGGAACUGCAUUUGAAACUGUCAGGCUGGAGUCUUGUAGAGGGGGGUGGAAUUCCAGGUGUAGCGGUGAAAUGCGUAGAGAUCUGGAGGAAUACCGGUGGCGAAGGCGGCCCCCUGGACAAAGACUGACGCUCAGGUGCGAAAGCGUGGGGAGCAAACAGGAUUAGAUACCCGGGUAGUCCCUGUCUCUUAUAC
Molecule: ribosomal RNA, 301 nt
Filed under: uncultured bacterium
Lineage: Bacteria
Description: partial 16S ribosomal RNA
Rfam family: Bacterial small subunit ribosomal RNA
Source: RNAcentral